GCACAGAGUUAGCCGUUCUCUUCCUCUUGCGGUACCAUCAAGCACCAAGGUUAUUAACCAAGCUACCUUGUUCUCGCAUGACAGGAGUUUACAAUCCGAAGACCUUAUCCUCCACGCGGCGUCCACGGUGCCGAGUUGGCCUGAAGGAAAAACACGCGC
RNAcentral lists this ribosomal RNA (159 nucleotides) under uncultured bacterium. RNAcentral describes it as "partial 16S ribosomal RNA". The record is from RNAcentral.